Brassica oleracea var. oleracea is the source of this 322-nucleotide long non-coding RNA. RefSeq lists it as uncharacterized. NCBI's taxonomy places the organism in Eukaryota, Viridiplantae, Streptophyta, Magnoliopsida, Brassicales, Brassicaceae. The transcript has 2 exons. The record is from RefSeq and is a predicted model, not a curated record.
AUAAUGCCUUUCACAAUCGACUAGCCGUCUCAUUUUUCACCGGAGUGUAAGCUAGAACAAUGGAUGGGAGGGCGAGUGGAUCUACAUGAAAUCAAAAUCCAAAAUCAGACGCCAAGAAUUCAGGUGAACAUGGAUAAGCGGAGAUGUGAGAGACGUGACCAAUAGCUUCUCAAACCAAAGCCACAGAGAUCAAAGAAGGACGAUCGAUAUAUUAUUCACCAACAGACUAUCUAUUUCUUUUUCAAAUACAAGAUGCUUAAGUUGAGUUUGUUUACCAUUUAAUUUGAAUGGUUGCUUUUUCAAAUAAAUGUUGCUUGAUUUA